Molecule: ribosomal RNA, 382 nt
Filed under: Allonais inaequalis
Lineage: Eukaryota; Metazoa; Annelida; Clitellata; Tubificida; Naididae
Description: partial 12S ribosomal RNA
Source: RNAcentral
UCAUGUCGUAAAGUUGGCCGGUUACUACAAAUAACAAUUUAAAAUCUAAAGAACUUGGCGGUGUCUUAUCAUACCAGGGGAACCUGUUCCUUAAUUCGAUAAUCCACGAAACCACUACCACUAAUUGAAAAACCAGCUUGUGUACUGCCGUCAUCAGCAUACCUUAAAAAGAAACAGUAUGCAAUAAUAAUAAAAAUUAAUUAUGUCAGGUCAUAGUACAGCCUAUUUAGUGGAGGAAAUGGGUUACAAUCAAUAUCUAGAUACCAAAUCAAGAACUAAAGUUCUGACAAAAGGUGGACUUGGCAGUAAUGAAAAGUAGAAAACUUUCAUGAAAACAGAUCUAAGACAUGCACACAUCGCCCGUCACUCCCCUCUAAAGAGG